Sorghum bicolor (sorghum) is the source of this 2485-nucleotide long non-coding RNA. RefSeq lists it as uncharacterized. The record is from RefSeq and is a predicted model, not a curated record. The transcript has 3 exons. Lineage: Eukaryota; Viridiplantae; Streptophyta; Magnoliopsida; Poales; Poaceae.
CCGUCUGCUUCGGUCCGUGCGAUCUUUCUACCGCGCCGGCAUGUGGGGCCUACGUGCGAGCAGCUCCUGUCCCCCAUCCUCGCCCUCGUAGAUUUCUGGGAUCCACGCCACCAUCACCUUGCGAACUUCCUCGAAUCGAUGCUGCUCGGAGCAGCUCCUGUCCCCAAUCCUCGCCCUCGCGGAUUUCUCGAAUCCACACCGCCAUCACCUCACGGCGCCAUCAACUUCCUCGGAUCGAUGUCGUAGCUCCUGUCCCCAAUCCUCGCCCUCGCGGAUUUCUCGCAUCCACGCCGCCAUCACCUCACGACGCCAUCCACUUCCUCAGAUCGAUGCCGCUCGGAAGACGACGCAUAAGGUAUUCAGCUAGAUUUGCUCUAUCUAAAUCAAAAGCAAGCAAUAAGGUAUUUAGCUUAGACCUCGCCGGCAAAGCCCCAUGAUGGGUCCGUUGGGACAGGGCCCCUCGCGAGGAGGGUGCCCUGCACGGGCGUGUCGCCCUUGGGCACCUGGUAGAAGGGGUUCAUACGUUUGCGGCGUGCCCAGUAGGGACCACGAGCCGCUCGUCGACGCACGUAGCCAGAGGCGGAGCAGCUACGGUGGCCUGUAGCCGUUGUUCUUUGUUGGUGUGGCCGCCGGACUUCAGCAGCAAUGUUACCGCGCCGGCCUCCGCCUCCACGGCAAGGCCCAACAAGGUGGACAUCCUCGGCUUCACCUUCAAUAGCUCUGUGCUCUGGGACCCUGAACGUUGGGGUCACUCCAGACCAACAAGCCCUAGCGUACAGCUCCCCGUGUUGUAGUGUGCCUGGAGAAAGAAAGUACGAAUCUUCUUCUUGGCAGGGUGACACUGAUUCUGGCGGACGGUCGACGAGGCAUCAAGGUGGAUAAUCUGCGGGAGAAAGUUCGUACUGCAUCUGUUCGACGUUUUGCCUCUACGAAAGGUUUGGUUUUAAAGUUUUUCUGUUUGGGUGAUUUAGUCAUUUUGGGUAAAAGAUCUCUAGAGAUUAGGCACUUACCGUUACAGUGCUUAGUAGCUAAGUCUGCUAUCACUGUGAGAUAAUGUGUGAUCAAUCAUGGCCACAAGAUAAUCCUAAGGAUACAAAAGGACUUCCAAGAAGACACUCAGCACCAUACCUUCUGACGGCAACGGAAGAUGUUGUGUGUAGUGUAUUCAUAUUUGAAUCAUUCAGGUUCAGAUAGAAAAGAUUGUUUAUGGAGUCUUUUAGUCCUCGACAGAUGAUGGGGUGAUUUUAUUGCAAUUGACUAAGAUAACCAAGUAACUGGACUAUGUAAUUUGUUUUUUCUUCUCCAUCCUAAAUGACAAAACCACAUAUAUCUUUUUUUCUACUUUCUUCAGUAAAAACUGAAGGUAUUACUCAGAAGUUUGUCCUAGAUUGCUUUUUAAUUUUGGAGGUUCUUACUUAACUCGUGAUCCUGUGACGCAUGUGUGCUACCAGGUUAUUGUUAGCAACACAAUUAGUCUAUUUUUGGAAAAUCACGUCAUAGGGGAUGUGGCCACAGCCCUGCACCCAGGAUAUAGGUCAGUUUUUUUUGCCUGACUAUCUAGAUUAUAAGCAGAAUACUGCUGAUGCAAAUUUUAUCAAGUUCCACACAUGUUUAUGAUAAAAAAACAUAGUUAUUUUUUUUAAACCGUAGUUCUAAGCAACUAAACUAAAUAUACCCAGUUUAAGCAGGGGAGCGUCGCAAGCAGCCGGUACUCUGGUCUCUAACAGCGGCAGAGUUGAGGCGUCGCUAUUAGAGAUAUACAUAGAUAUGUAUAUAUAUAUAUAUAUAUAUAUAUAUAUAUAUAUAUACCAAAUAGUCGCACGCAUGGAGUUAGCUCCAUGGGGCCAUGGGCAAUCCGCCACAUCAGACCACGCUGUAGUGGGCAGCAUCCCCCAGUUGGCCAACCCCUGGCCGACUAGAGCCAGCAGCAAGUGCUAGGUAGAGGCAGGUAGAAGGGAGUACUGCAGCAGGCCGAUAGCCUAGCAGAAUAUGUGCUAUUGGGAAAGAGUUAUUUGGAGUUUAUGAUAUUUUUCACAGCACAAGUGACCAUACUUUCUGUGAAAGAGGCUCAAUAGCAAAGAUCACUCGUCGCUUACGACUUUUGUGCCUCUUGUGCUGAUACAAGAGAUUGCAACAAUAAUGAAAGUUACUGAGCAAGGGGCGGGGGUGCAUUUUCUUGAUCAUGAGGAUAAUAGCAGUAGUGAUGGUGGCAAUGGAUUAAAGGGGAUAGGGACUCUAGAUGAAAUAACUCAGUGCAGGGGCUUUCAUUUUUGUCUUCUAUAUGGUGCAUCAGUUGUAGGCUCAAGAAGGUGAACAACAGUUUGCAAAAUCCAAUCAUAAACUGAAUUAGCAACGUGUCAUCUUCAGCGUAACUAUUUUAAUGCUCAUGUAGUUGCUCGAUUUCCAGUCAUUUGUGUUAAUUUUGUAAGCUUGUGACGCUGCGCUCUUUGUGACUAUGUUAAUUUCACAAACUUUGCUUUUUAAA